RNAcentral lists this ribosomal RNA (288 nucleotides) under Halomonas sp. GDM18. RNAcentral's name for it is "partial 23S ribosomal RNA". It matches the Rfam family "Bacterial large subunit ribosomal RNA", at positions 2079 to 2365 of the family's 2925-position model. The record is from RNAcentral. Lineage: Bacteria; Pseudomonadati; Pseudomonadota; Gammaproteobacteria; Oceanospirillales; Halomonadaceae.
AGACGGAAAGACCCCGUGAACCUUUACUAUAGCUUUAGACUGGAUGCUGAUGUUGUCUGUGUAGGAUAGCUGGGAGGCUUUGAAACCACGUCGCCAGAUGCGGUGGAGCCAACCUUGAAAUACCAGCCUGACAUCAUUGGCGUUCUAACUCAGGUCCGUUAUCCGGAUCGAGGACAGUGUAUGGUGUGUAGUUUGACUGUGGCGGUCUCCUCCUAAAGAGUAACGGAGGAGCACGAAGGUACCCUCAGCACGGUUGGAAAUCGUGCAUUGAGUGCAAGAGCAUAAGGG